RNAcentral lists this ribosomal RNA (702 nucleotides) under uncultured bacterium. RNAcentral's name for it is "bacterial SSU rRNA". It matches the Rfam family "Bacterial small subunit ribosomal RNA", at positions 134 to 852 of the family's 1533-position model. The record is from RNAcentral.
CAGAGGGGGAUAACGUUUGGAAACGAACGCUAAUACCGCAUGAUAUUAUUGAGCUGCAUGGCUUGAUAAUCAAAGGAGCAAUCCGCUGAAAGAUGGGCUCACGUCCGAUUAGGUAGUUGGCGGGGCAACGGCCCACCAAGCCGACGAUCGGUAGCCGGACUGAGAGGUUGAACGGCCACAUUGGGACUGAGACACGGCCCAGACUCCUACGGGAGGCAGCAGUGAGGGAUAUUGGUCAAUGGGGGAAACCCUGAACCAGCAACGCCGCGUGAGGGAAGACGGUUUUCGGAUUGUAAACCUCUGUCCUCUGUGAAGAUGAUGACGGUAGCAGAGGAGGAAGCUCCGGCUAACUACGUGCCAGCAGCCGCGGUAAUACGUAGGGAGCAAGCGUUGUCCGGAUUUACUGGGUGUAAAGGGUGCGUAGGCGGCUUUGCAAGUCAGAAGUGAAAUCCAUGGGCUUAACCCAUGAACUGCUUUUGAAACUGCAGAGCUUGAGUGGAGUAGAGGUAGGCGGAAUUCCCGGUGUAGCGGUGAAAUGCGUAGAGAUCGGGAGGAACACCAGUGGCGAAGGCGGCCUGCUGGGCUCUAACUGACGCUGAGGCACGAAAGCGUGGGUAGCAAACAGGAUUAGAUACCCUGGUAGUCCACGCUGUAAACGAUGAUUACUAGGUGUGGGUGGACUGACCCCAUCCGUGCCGGAGU